GAUGAACGCUGGCGGCGUGCCUAAUACAUGCAAGUCGAGCGAACAGACGAGGAGCUUGCUCCUCUGACGUUAGCGGCGGACGGGUGAGUACACGUGGAUAACCUACCUAUAAGACCGGGAUAACCUCGGGAAACCGGAGCCAAUAACGGAAAAUAUAUUGAAACGGCUGGUUCAAUAGUGAAAGACGGUUUUGGCGUUAACUAUAGAAUGAUCCGCGCCGCAUUAGCUAGUUGGUAAGGUAACGGCUUACCAAGGCAACGAUGCGUAGCCGACCUGAGAGGGUGAUCGGCCACACUGGAACUGAGACACGGUCCAGACUCCUACGGGAGGCAGCAGUAGGGAAUCUUCCGCAAUGGGCGAAAGCCUGACGGAGCAACGCCGCGUGAGUGAUGAAGGUCUUCGGAUCGUAAAACUCUGUUAUUAGGGAAGAACAAAUGUGUAAGUAACUAUGCACGUCUUGACGGUACCUAAUCAGAAAGCCACGGCUAACUACGUG
Molecule: ribosomal RNA, 496 nt
Filed under: uncultured bacterium
Lineage: Bacteria
Description: partial 16S ribosomal RNA
Rfam family: Bacterial small subunit ribosomal RNA
Source: RNAcentral